UGGCUCAAACAGUUAAGUGUUUGGCUACUAACCAAAAGGUUGGUGGUUCGAACCCACC
RNAcentral lists this transfer RNA (58 nucleotides) under Loxodonta africana (African savanna elephant). It matches the Rfam family "tRNA", at positions 8 to 63 of the family's 71-position model. From Rfam's summary of the family: Transfer RNA (tRNA) molecules are approximately 80 nucleotides in length. Their secondary structure includes four short double-helical elements and three loops (D, anti-codon, and T loops). The record is from Rfam by way of RNAcentral. Lineage: Eukaryota; Metazoa; Chordata; Mammalia; Proboscidea; Elephantidae.